Homo sapiens (human) is the source of this 1639-nucleotide long non-coding RNA. NCBI's taxonomy places the organism in Eukaryota, Metazoa, Chordata, Mammalia, Primates, Hominidae. The record is from Ensembl.
CGAAGGCUCCGCGGCCCUGGAGAGCCGGCUUUAGGGCAGCCACUGGCCGGGCGGUCUCCCAAGUCAAUGGCCUCUGUGGGAAAGGCAGUGAUGUCACCUCGAAUGUAUUUUCGGGGCUUUGCCCUGCUUUCUCCUGAUCUCUCCCUCUCAGGCUGUUUCCCUGUUUUAUUUUUCUCCUCUUUCUUUCUCUCCUUCCAGCUUCUUUGAGGGCAUUAUGACUUUUUUCCAAGUUUAGAGCUCAAAUCCACUGAAGGCCCGCACGCAGCCCCAUGACUGCCAUGGCAACGCCGGGCCUGGUACACUUUUUUUUUUUUUUUGCAUAAAAAGUAGAGAAAGAUUGAAAAGAGGGACAAGAAUGAAAGGGGGAACGGAGCCAGUUUGGCCUGCGCGGGGCUGGUGUCUGCUGGGCAAGGACAGAAGCACACGGGGAACGGGACUCGUGAGGCCGGAGGAGCCAGCGGAGGGGCCUUUGAGAAACAAAUUUGUGAUCCUUCACGGUCAAAGCUUCCGAAAAAGCUCUGCGCUUCUGACGGAUGACAAGAGAGGGAGGGCAACAAAGUUCUCACAAGAAAUAAGGUCUCGCUUUUGAACAUGUACCCAAUUGCAUAGUUUAGAGGAAGCUUUCAAAAAUCUGUCUAGCCUCUCAAAAAGAAAGACAAAAAGAAGAAGAAGAAGAAAGGAGCGAAAAGUCUCAAAAGGACUUUUGACCUGUGUAGAAAGAGAGCAGAAAACACGCUGACACAUUUCCUGGAAUACCCAAGGUCCUUGAGCUCCCUAUUGUUAAACGGCCUCAGUGGAAACUCGAAGGUGUCAGCUGUGUCAAAUCAACUCAAAAUAAUCGAUGACAAACAGAAAGAGACAUUCAUUACUGUACCUUCUUCCCCUAGAGAAUAUAACAUUACCUUGAACUCCUGAAAGAAAAUGAAUGUCAUGUCUCCGAUAUGUUUUGUGUCCAUUCUAUCAAAAAGCAGAUUGCAAACAGUCUGAGAAAGCAGCUCCUGAAAAAUCCAGACAACUGCCCCCAUGAAAGCCGGGGCCAGCAGGUGAGGUGACUUGAGCGUGCAGGCAUGGAUCGCGGUCUCCUGCUGCCCAGGGCUCUUCCUGCUAGCAUCAGCAUCUGAUGGAUGAGAGCCCCAUCUAGUUCCUGGGCCCUGGGUUACUGCCCUCUAAUCCUGUCCUUGACCUCCUUCCCAAAAGUGUUAUCAGCCAUAGUCCAAGCUCCAUGUUCUCCAUGUGGUUACACACAAAUGCACCAGGCCAAGAGUCCUUGAAAAACUUAGACACUAAUCACAGAAGACACAGUCCUCAAGAAGGGAAUGGCAAUGUUAUUUCUACCAGCAGCAAUGGCUCAGGCCAAGGAGUUGGAAAGAAGAGACAAAGAGGAAGGCGAAGGCAGGCUCUGGAGAGGACAUGGACUCUGAGGCGGGUCUGGAGAUUGUUCAUGGGCACAGAGUAACAGGAAUGUCCCACACUCAGGUGCAGGGUGACUGGGUGUUGAGCGGGCUGGACUCACUGACUGGCACACUAUCCAGAAAAGGCUUUGUGCUUCUCCUACACAUGAGCUGUGGGAUCCCCACUCCUAGUCCUUGGAUGGGGCAGAUGCCAUUACUUUCCAGUCAUUAAACGUUAGGACUCUUUA